UACGGAGGGGGCUAGCGUUGCUCGGAAUUACUGGGCGUAAAGAGCAUGUAGGCGGAUUGCAUAGUCAGGCGUGAAAGCCCCAGGCUCAACCUGGGAACUGCGUUUGAUACUUGCAGUCUUGAGUCCGAGAGAGGGUGGUGGAAUUCCCAGUGUAGAGGUGAAAUUCGUAGAUAUUGGGAAGAACACCAGUGGCGAAGGCG
RNAcentral lists this ribosomal RNA (200 nucleotides) under uncultured bacterium. RNAcentral describes it as "partial 16S ribosomal RNA". It matches the Rfam family "Bacterial small subunit ribosomal RNA", at positions 524 to 723 of the family's 1533-position model. The record is from RNAcentral.